AGCUAGAUGGAGCAGAGUCUGAACAAAGACUUCUAUUUUCAGAGGGUUGAAGGUAAACCCUUCAUCUGCAAGUUAUUUAAAGUUGAAACUAGUUUCAUCAACAGGGUUUUGCAAGACUCAGCAGCGAGCUACUGAAGACUUUCCAAAAUGUGCAGAUCUUCAGGCUCCCAUUUUGCCAUGGAGAAAACGUGCAGAAAGAAUUCCAGGUCAGUGAAGAAGCUAUCAGAGACACAGCCACUCUACCAACACGUAACAGUGCCGAUGGACAGCAGCAGAGAAAGACAGCAAAGGAAACUGGAGAGUUAUGCACCAAGCUGAAGGCCUGGCAGACCAUAAAGAAGGGAGAGUGGAUGAAGAGAGGGGAAGGUAAGCAUGAGUACGAUACAGAGGUUGGCUAUUUAUGACAUGGGAGAAGGGUCCAACAAGCAUGCAUAGCAAAUAUGGGUACUAGGCAUGAAUGGUGCCAACUCCCCUCCUGUAGCUGCAGCUACCUGCAGCUAAAGACAGGCAGGAGGGAGAGCACUCAUUAGCGGGUGAUGUCUAAAGCAAAUCAGGAAACAUGACUGUGGAUCCCAGGGCAAAAAAACACAGAUCGUUGCUGCUCUCUGCUUGUAUAACAGAACACCUGCAGAUAUUACAGAAAAGUUGAAGCUGUCCCCAUUGUAAAGAUCACUUCUUAAUUCUCUGUCUCGCACUCCUUCUCACGCCCUAAAAUGCACAAGCGUUUAAGAACCAAUGCUGUCUGUGGCUGCAAAGCUACAAUGAACAUGAGUGGAGUCCCAUCGUGAGUUUCUAUUCAUGGAAGACUACAGCCAGCAGGCUGGCUAUCUUAUCUGUCGUGGGAGUGCACCAAGGGGAGGGAAGCUCUCAGGGCACAAGCGCUGAAUCUCAGAGGUGAGGAUAACAGCAUGAACUGCACUCUGUUGCUGAAGGCAAAGGAAAGUUAAGUUCUUUCAUGCCACAUCUGUCAAUAAUCACAAGAAAACACACCUCAAGCACUAGGUUACCUCUAUUAAAAAAAACAGGCCUGCCUCUCCACGUAAGAUGUUUACAAUAACCCCUAACAAUGGUGUAUUAUUUCCAUUUACUGAUAAAUUUAAACCAACUAUUAGAAGGAAAAGCAUACAGUUCUGUUCACCACCACACUCACAGCUCCAAAGGAUGGCAGAUCAUUCUACACACAAAAGAAAUUACAGCCUGCGAAAGCCUAGCAGCAUAUAUCUUACCAUCAUCAUCAUCCUGGUUUGGAUUGGGCACAUCUUUUAAAAUGCUGAAGAUUUCAUCAUUGCUGGCCUUAUUUUUAAUUGCGAUUGUUAAACAGAGUGCGACAGUAUAUCCAGGAAGAGACCCUAAACAAGAGCAAAGAGGUCAAAAUAUGUCUAAGGCAAGUGACUAUUUUUAACACCAGUUUGUCUAUCAGAGAAACAAGUACACUUCCCAACUACACCUAAAACUAGCUGUUUCUAAUAUCAUUGUCCACAUCACUAUUCCAUAAAACUGCUCAACACUUUUCCUGGUCUUCACAUUAAAUACAAAACUUCCAGUAGAACCUUUAGAACUGAGGUCAGGUAAUCGCUCUCCCGUCUAAAGCUCUACUUCAGCUUUCACGAAUUUCCUAAAAAUACAAUACUUCCUUGUUUUUCCUCACUGUAUCUUUGACGAUGAUACUUUUAUGCUUAGGAUUGUCUUUACACUGAGUAGUAAAAGGAAUAAUAAGGUAUCUCUCUAUCUCAAUCUUUACGUCAUCUGCUGCCUCUGUAUGCUUCAUUAAACCAAGUUCACUGGUAAAAUCUUCUACUGUUUCAUGAAGUUCAAACAAUAAACUCACAUUAUCACUUUA
This is a long non-coding RNA of Harpia harpyja (harpy eagle), 1840 nucleotides long. RefSeq lists it as uncharacterized. Lineage: Eukaryota; Metazoa; Chordata; Aves; Accipitriformes; Accipitridae. The transcript has 2 exons. The record is from RefSeq and is a predicted model, not a curated record.